GAUGAACGCUGGCGGCGUGCCUAAUACAUGCAAGUCGAGCGAACAGACGAGGAGCUUGCUCCUCUGACGUUAGCGGCGGACGGGUGAGUAACACGUGGAUAACCUACCUAUAAGACUGGGAUAACUUCGGGAAACCGGAGCUAAUACCGGAUAACAUGUUGAACCGCAUGGUUUAACAGUGAAAGACGGUCUUGCUGUCACUUAUAGAUGGAUCCGCGCCGCAUUAGCUAGUUGGUAAGGUAACGGCUUACCAAGGCAACGAUGCGUAGCCGACCUGAGAGGGUGAUCGGCCACACUGGAACUGAGACACGGUCCAGACUCCUACGGGAGGCAGCAGUAGGGAAUCUUCCGCAAUGGGCGAAAGCCUGACGGGGCAACGCCGCGUGAGUGAAGAAGGUCUUCGGAUCGUAAAACUCUGUUAUUAGGGAAGAACAAAUGUGUAAGUAACUAUGCACGUCUUGACGGUACCUAAUCAGAAAGCCACGGCUAACUACGUG
This 497-nucleotide ribosomal RNA is filed under the name uncultured bacterium. Its description in RNAcentral is "partial 16S ribosomal RNA". It matches the Rfam family "Bacterial small subunit ribosomal RNA", at positions 28 to 507 of the family's 1533-position model. The record is from RNAcentral.